UACCCUUGACAUGUACGGAAGCCCGAUGAGAGUUGGGUGUGCCCGAAAGGGAGCCGUAACACAGGUGCUGCAUGGCUGUCGUCAGCUCGUGUCGUGAGAUGUUGGGUUAAGUCCCGCAACGAGCGCAACCCUUGCCAUUAGUUGCCACAUUCAGUUGGGCACUCUAAUGGGACUGCCGGUGACAAACCGGAGGAAGGUGGGGAUGACGUCAAGUCCUCAUGGCCCUUAUGGGUAGGGCCUCA
This 242-nucleotide ribosomal RNA is filed under the name uncultured bacterium. RNAcentral describes it as "partial 16S ribosomal RNA". It matches the Rfam family "Bacterial small subunit ribosomal RNA", at positions 976 to 1218 of the family's 1533-position model. The record is from RNAcentral.